UGGGUUCGUAGCUCAGCAUGGAUAGAGCGAGUGCUUGCGGAGCAUUAGGUCGGGGGUUCGAAUCCCUUCGGAUCCGU
This 77-nucleotide transfer RNA is filed under the name Candidatus Nitrosopelagicus brevis. RNAcentral describes it as "tRNA-Arg(gcg)". It matches the Rfam family "tRNA". Rfam says of the family: Transfer RNA (tRNA) molecules are approximately 80 nucleotides in length. Lineage: Archaea; Thermoproteati; Nitrososphaerota. RNAcentral also lists the same sequence under 1 other name. The record is from RNAcentral.